GGGGUUGUGGCUCAGAGGUAGAGCGUUCGCCUAGCAUGUGCAAGGCCCUGGGUUUGAUCCUCAGCACCACA
RNAcentral lists this transfer RNA (71 nucleotides) under Marmota monax (woodchuck). RNAcentral's name for it is "tRNA.Ala". It matches the Rfam family "tRNA". From Rfam's summary of the family: Transfer RNA (tRNA) molecules are approximately 80 nucleotides in length. Their secondary structure includes four short double-helical elements and three loops (D, anti-codon, and T loops). Further hydrogen bonds mediate the characteristic L-shaped molecular structure. tRNAs have two regions of fundamental functional importance: the anti-codon, which is responsible for specific mRNA codon recognition, and the 3' end, to which the tRNAs corresponding amino acid is attached (by aminoacyl-tRNA synthetases). tRNAs cope with the degeneracy of the genetic code in two manners: having more than one tRNA (with a specific anti-codon) for a particular amino acid; and 'wobble' base-pairing, i.e. permitting non-standard base-pairing at the 3rd anti-codon position. Lineage: Eukaryota; Metazoa; Chordata; Mammalia; Rodentia; Sciuridae. The record is from RNAcentral.